GUAACGCACGUAAGCCGGCUGUCCUCUCAUAGUAGAAAAGUGGUGACGCGGAUAUUAUUUAGUGUUUGAUAGUUUUCUUUUGAUAUUUUCGUGAAAUUAUUCAGUCUUCAUUCGUUUUGUAAUGGAAGCUUCAGUAUCCCUGCCUCCUGGCACAGUUGUACAAUGUAAAAAUAAAAGGAAUAGGGGAAAGAGGAAGUCUCGCAAAAGACGCGGGCGAGAGACGCGAAAGCGCGGUCGGCGCGGCGGCGUGAAAUGUCGCGAAUGAAGGUUGAGGGUGCUACGGGAGGAAUUAUCAGCCCAAAAAGACGCAUCAGCACCCUCAUCGGCGCCGCGCCCCAAUGAUCCACCGAUUGUUGACUUGACUCAAUCGGAAGAGGAAAUCGACGAGUGUUGGCUAGAUCCUUCUUCCUUCGAAGUUCUUGAUACAGAUGCCUGUGUGAAAGUUCGUUUCUCCAAUGAGGUGCCUGUUGAAGUUUUGAAGGCUCAUUUGCACCAUUGUCACUCUGGUGAAGGGGGAGUUUCCCCCGUGGUGCAUUCAUGGUGCAUAGAGAAGUUUCUUCAAACGUGUCUGGACCCUCCGUACCCUGACUUUAAUUUUAUCUAAUAGCAAUAUUUUGCUUGUUUGGUGCAUAUAUGUAUUAAUGAUUUUAAGUGUAGAUUUCAUGUUAGUGUACAUAUAUAUAUAUUUACAUACAGUUAGUUGUGUGUUUGUGCGAUGUUAUAGAUUGGAUAAGUUGCUCUUUACUUAUUUUAUUCAUUUUAAGUUUGUUCGGUAUCUUCGUGGUUCCUUAUGGUAUUUCAUCCAUUUGAUCGUCUUUAUAUAAUAGUUUUCAUUUUCUUUUGAUUCAUAGUAAGUUUUUUAAUGUGUGUUUUGUACGUGGUAAUGCGUAGUUUUGGCGGUUAUGUUCGAUAUUGUAAAUUAAAUAAACUAUUCUUAGUGUUGGUUUUUAUUAUUAUUAUUAUUAUUUUUUUUUAUUUAAGUUUCCUCAAUAUUUUAGUUUGUUGGGGUUUAUAUUUUUUCUUUGCGGGUGUAGGUUAUGUUGGUUAUGGACAUGGAAGUACCUGCACUUGUUCAACCUGUACAGUACGUAUUAUUUUAUUUAUUUUAAUUUCGUCCUCUUUCCUAUGGCGUUCGUCCGUUUGUCUGCCUGGUCUUGUAUUUAUUGUUUUAGCACAAGAGGAGAAGGGAUUCCCAAAAAUGUGUGGAUGGCUCGUGAAGACGAUACAGAUGAAUGUGCGAAGGCUCACUUCCCUGAGGAGACUUCUGCCGGAGUCCUGGAUAUUCUCCUGUGUCACUGUUCUUGUGGUCAGAGCGAUCUUCUCUGCUGUAUGCUCCCAGUACAUGGAGAGACUUCGUGAGAUGUGUCUUGACGUUAUUUUAUUCAUUUGGUUGUGGCGAUUAUGAUUUUAAAUGGUGAAUACAGAGGUGUCCUCGUCAAAGGUUCCUUAUGCAGACUGUCCCACGCAAGAGGAAGACGGGUUCCAAAAUAUGUGAGUGGUCCCAGAAGGUGCAGGCAAGAACAAAAUAUCGUGUGACAUUUGUGUUGAUUAUGUUCGAUGCUUUUAUAUAUAUAUAUAUAUUAUUUUGUUGGUUAAAUCUUUAGUCAGUUCAGUUGAAUAUUCUGUAAUAUAAUAUUUGCAAAGUAGUUUUGUAUAUUUUAUUGUGUUUAUUUGAUUAUUAGUUGUUUGAUUUGAUAAUAAUAAUAUGUAUAUAUAUAUUUAUUUAUUUAUUUAUUUUACAAUAUAAAAUUUCUUUGAGUUUAUUAGUUUUAAUAUGUGAUAUCUUGCGUUUUAUUUCUUUUACAUGUGUUAGGUUGUGUAUAUAUAUCUAUAUGUGUAUAUGUCCCAUGAUGUAACUUCGUAUGGAAUUCUUUUAAUAUUAAAAUGUUAGUUAAUCUUAA
This is an RNA transcript of Bombus pyrosoma, 1901 nucleotides long. RefSeq lists it as uncharacterized. Lineage: Eukaryota; Metazoa; Arthropoda; Insecta; Hymenoptera; Apidae. The record is from RefSeq and is a predicted model, not a curated record. The transcript is spliced from 4 exons.